RNAcentral lists this transfer RNA (85 nucleotides) under Erysipelotrichaceae bacterium. RNAcentral's name for it is "tRNA-Leu(cag)". It matches the Rfam family "tRNA". From Rfam's summary of the family: Transfer RNA (tRNA) molecules are approximately 80 nucleotides in length. Their secondary structure includes four short double-helical elements and three loops (D, anti-codon, and T loops). RNAcentral also lists the same sequence under 3 other names. Lineage: Bacteria; Bacillati; Bacillota; Erysipelotrichia; Erysipelotrichales; Erysipelotrichaceae. The record is from RNAcentral.
GCGGAUGUGGCGGAACUGGUAGACGCGCUGAUUUCAGGGGUCAGUGGGGCGACUCGUGCAGAUUCGAAUUCUGUCAUCCGCACCA